CCAGCAAGGAAAGGCACAGAUUAGCAGUGGUGGCAAUAGAGCCAGAAUGACCAGGGGCAUUUGGCGUAGCUCCAGUUGCAUUGUUGGCGGCCAUGUUUGCAACAGGAGGCAGAGGAGGAUCAAUCACGUCUUUGGCGUCAAGAGGUGGGCUUGGGGCACUAGCUGGUGGCUGUGCUUCCUUGUUUGCCACGGAGAUUAGAGAGCCAGCCUCUGCAGGUAAGAUGGCAUAGGGCUGCUCUUUGUCUAAAUCUGAGCAUGGACUCCCUGCAUUUGCAUCAAAUGUUAAGCAUCAGCUUUUGUGUUGUUAAAUGAUCAACAUUAUCUUUGUUAUGUGUAUAUAUUGGUUCUUUCAUGAAUCUUGUAGAGGUUUAGAAUUUACUUAAGUAUCUGGUGGCGGUGGCAGGGAACUCCGUGAUGACUCCAUCAACACCAUUCCCUGCAAUGAAUGUGGCAAACUCUACAGUAGGAUCAGAGAAGUAGUCGAACGCUAUGGAGAUAUACUCGUUCCUUAGCACCGAGACAUAAACAGAGAUAUUCCCCUUGUGCAUUUCCUCCACUACGUUGGUCUUCCCUGCGGCAAAGCUUCCGGAGAUGGUGACGAGAGAACUUCUCAAGAUAUUGACAGCAUCUGCAUGCUUCUUGAUUUCGUCAACGGAUGCCUUGGGAGCAUCUCCUAUUUCCUUGUCGAUGCUCAAGACUCUAGUGUAGGGAGGGACAGCCUCAAAACCGGCCAGAACUGAACUGUCAUCUGACUGAAUCAAUACCCUUUGGGUUGUUUGCUUGUCGAGUGUGGAUUUGGUCAGAGCGGACUUGACUGCGUCUACGAUUCCUAAGCCUUUCUUUGAGGCUAAAUAAGCAGCAUUCUGUCAAAACAAAAAAAACAAGGCGUUAGUGGUGAUGCUUUGAGUAAGUUAAAGGAGCAUUAAUGAAAAAAGGGGCAUAUGCCUGGAUGUUGACAAGAACUCCAGUGACUGCCUUUUCUUUGCUGAACUUAAGGAAGUCAUCAAGAGUUACGAACUUCCCGGCAUUCUUGUUUGCUGGGUUUCUCGAGAUUCCCACCUUAGCUAUGAAAGGGCUCUGGAUUUGAGCUGUAGGCAGAGACAUCCCACUGUCAUGAUCCAGAUCUUCCCCCAGAGCUAGCUGCAGCAACAGGGGCGCAGGGUGUUCCUGUUGAUUCUUCAAAUUUAGUGAAGGUAGAAACUGCUCAAGUUGAUUCAGCUAAAGUACCAGCUCAUGUUCGACCUGCACUGGUAUGUUUCCUACCGCCUUUGUUCUCAUUUAAAGUAGCAUCGUCUAUAUGUGGUUUUCUAUAUUGUAUAUCAAAGCUGGAACGUCGUGGCUAUACAUUUUUCUUGUUACUAUCUAAAGCUUGAGAGUAUUGGAUGAUUUUUUUACUUUUGGUUAUUUCAGCCCCCUGGAAGACCGAUACCUGUGGAGACUGGUUCUGGUGAGCGUCAGCCAUCCGUUGAUACACGUGCUCCUCGAAUGCGUGAUCUAGAUGCUAUCAUUGAGGUUGAACAUGUCUCAAAUCUCUCUUUAUUUUGGUUUUUACUGGUGAGGCAUAGUUGCAUGCUAUAAUGUCUGCUACUAAUUGAAAUCGAUUUUGUUGCCAGAUUGUAUGUCAGGAUUCACACGAGGAUGCGCCUUCGGGUGAAAAUGACACAGAACCAGCUGUUAGUAGCCUUCCUAUAGAAAAUGUUCCAGUUGAGACUGGGUACGUUAACAGCAGAAGACCAGACGGGGAAUCUGCUGAACGAAGUCCUACCCAGGAUGAACCACGUAAAAGGCUUCUCAGAAAGCAAGACGAUGAGAUCUCUAGAAGCACUGGUAGUGGCCAGAGUUUUCGUUCGUCGUCUCCUGUUGGGGACAGAGGCACAAUGUCAUCAAGUGUUGAUCGUGAAGAUAUGGGAGGCGUAGCCGGCAAAGAUGCUGAGAUGGAAGAGGAGCGUAAAACGAGUUCUGCAGUUCAAGAAGAUGAUGGAGGGGAAUCAAAGACGGAGAGAAGUAGUGGAAACAGCAAAGCAAGAUCUGAAAGUCACAGAGAUCAUCAGCAAUUGAAGGAUAGUGCAGAACAGGAAGUUAUUCAAAAUAAGCAUUCUACUCGACCAGCUAGCAGUAAGAAACAUCACGAUAACAGUGCACCGUAUCAGAGCAGAAAGAAUCAAGACAGAGGGAAAGAAAUGGAAAGAACUCGAGCGGCGAGCAAAGGUGGUAGGGAGUACUCAAAUCCUCAUACGGACGUUGAUUACUCAAUUGCAAGGGGCGACGAUUAUGAUAGAAGGAAAGAGCGAGAUGUUGAUGGGGGGUUCUGGCGCAGGAAAGAGGAUGACCCAUUCAGUAGAAGAGGUGGGGAUGAAGGGUUUAGAAAAAGGGAUCGUGAAGAGGAUCUGGGCUCUAAGCAGAGGGGUAAAAUGAGAGAGAGUGACAUACGCAACAAAGAUGAUCAUCAUGUUCCAUCGAGAAAGCAUUUGGACGAUGGUGGUUUAAGAAAUAGUUAUGAACUGGAUGAUCACAUCGGGAAGAGGAGGAAGGAUGAAGAAUACUUAAGAAGAAACCGCUCUGAAAAGAACGAAAUCUCAUAUGGUCAAAGAGAAUCAUCAACCAGCCGCCUGAAACGAGAACGGGGUGAUAGGUUGGACCAUCAAAAGAGAGAUGUCCAACAUAAAAGCAGAGAUGAUUUUGAUGACCACAGUUCUCUCAGGCACAGAGACGAUUUCUAUAUGCAGAGAGAUGGAAAUGACAGGUUGAGAGAGCGCGAGGGUAUGGAUAAAUUGAAAUUAACUCAGGAGGAUGGCUUAUCAGCACGAGGAAGAGAGAGGCAGGUACCUACUACAAGGGGUCAUAGAGGCUCAGAAGACCGAUCAUCAUCGAUGAUGAAGGAUGAUUAUAAAACUUCUGAGAAAGAGCAUCUCACAAAAGAUUCAACAAGGCAUAGUAAACAGACGAAGAGAAGGGAAUAUCAUGGUGAAGAAAGUUCUCAUCAUAGAGGACACAGAGACUUCUCUGCACGCACAGAUGAGACUGCUAACAAUGAGAAAAUGCCAAGGCAGGAGAGAACAAGUGCUAAAAGUGACAAUGUUAUUAAUUCUUUGGACGGCCAGCAGUUGCAAGACAGAAAACAUAAAGAUUCCAGACGAAAGAUUAAAGAACAACGAGAGGGUGCCGAUUCAGUGAGGAGCAAGCAAGGAGAAGAAAAUGGCAGUUCAGAAGUAACGGUAUGCUCUAUCAGCCUAUCAACUUAUUACUCUCAUCCAAGUUUUGUAAACUUAACGUAACAUGGUUAUCGUGAAUGCAUUAGACUUUACAAAGUAUUUUGUUCCUGUGAUUAACCUCACCUAAUAAUAUAUCUCAUGGGUUUGGUCACUUUUAAUAUGCCUCAACGGGUCAGUAUUGAUGCUUCUUUCAUGCCUUCCAGGGCUCAAAAGGUAAAAACGAAGCAAGAAAUCACAGGAGUGAGAUCCCACAGCAGACUAACGCCACCAAAAGACACAAGGAGGAUGCUUCAUCUGGUGAUGAGCUGCAAGAUUCAAAGAGAGGACGUACGAAAAUGGAGCGUUGGGCAAGCCACAAAGAGAGAGAUGAUGUUGUCACUGUCACGGCAUCGUCCACUUCUUCAAAACUUCAAGAGAAGGAAAAAGGCACUAACGGCCGAGUUCUCGAACCUGUCCAUGACAAGAAUCGGGAUUUAACUGAAGAGAAAAGUAGCCAUGACCUUGCAGAGACCAAAGAUAGAAGCGAGAAGGGACCUCCAGGAGAUCGGCACUUGGACACGGUUGAGAAACUCAAGAAACGUAGUGAACGGUUCAAACUUCCAAUGCCCACGGAGAAAGAUACCACAGUCGUAAAGAAAAUGGAGUCUGAGACGCUGCCCUCUGCAAAAAUUGAAGGCCCUGUGGAUUCAGAGGUGAAAGCAGAGCGGCCAGCAAGGAAAAGACGGUGGACAAGUAGCUGAGAGCCUGGCUCUCUUUGGCUGGAUCGAGGGGUAGCUUCUUAUACUUAAACGGAUGGCAUGAGAUUCUCGCAUCCCACGGAGCAGUUGUUGCCGUGGAGGAUCAAGUUCCAUGAAGAUUAAUUAGAAGAGCUUAGGAAGAGUGUGUGGGAGUGAGCUAUGUUGUGUAAGAAUAAUACGCAUAAGGAUUUUACUUUGAGAGAAUACUCUUUUGUAGUAGUUGAUGUAAACUUUUGUCAAAGAUUAUUUGGUCUUUUAGUUUUGUUCACAUACUAAGCGCCUCAAGAGAGAGCGAGGAUAUUUAUAAAGUACUCGAGGCAUUGUAUUUUACUGUAGUAAUUUUGUUACUGUUUUUUGUAAACAACCUUUUGAACACUUGACAUUUGUAUUUUCCUUUUUCCAGGUUUAUUAUGAGGAGACAGCAACAACUAUGAAAGUAGAGACUGCUUGAUGGAGAAAGGCUCGUAAAUAGAAUACGAGCUUAUUAUCACGUUUCAAAAUCUCUUACGAAAUCAAAACUUUCCUAUUACAAACAAACAAAGUUUCUUUAGAGCUUUGAUCUAUAGUAAUAAAUCACUGUUUUGCGGCAUAUAUUGUUUAAAAUGAAUAAAACGUAAAUAGCUCAAGUUUCGAAAAUGCUGAGGGCGGGCAUGUUACAACGUAUGAAGUUAUAUGGUGUGAUUAAAUUUUUAUUCAGUGGCAAAGAGGAAUCCCAUAGCCAGUAUUGCCAGCAAGGAAAGGCACAGAUUAGCAGUGGUGGCAAUAGAGCCAGAAUGACCAGGGGCAUUUGGCGUAGCUCCAGUUGCAUUGUUGGCGGCCAUGUUUGCAACAGGAGGCAGAGGAGGAUCAAUCACGUCUUUGGCGUCAAGAGGUGGGCUUGGGGCACUAGCUGGUGGCUGUGCUUCCUUGUUUGCCACGGAGAUUAGAGAGCCAGCCUCUGCAGGUAAGAUGGCAUAGGGCUGCUCUUUGUCUAAAUCUGAGCAUGGACUCCCUGCAUUUGCAUCAAAUGUUAAGCAUCAGCUUUUGUGUUGUUAAAUGAUCAACAUUAUCUUUGUUAUGUGUAUAUAUUGGUUCUUUCAU
RNAcentral lists this long non-coding RNA (5029 nucleotides) under Brassica napus (rape). Its description in RNAcentral is "long non-coding RNA (BNAP_LNC023516)". The record is from RNAcentral. Lineage: Eukaryota; Viridiplantae; Streptophyta; Magnoliopsida; Brassicales; Brassicaceae.